GUUUAAAGUCUUUCCCUGUUGUGAUUGUCUUGGGAGUCAAAUUGUUUUUAAAUUGGUUUGUCACUUGAAUGCAUUUGGAACUUUGUGAUUAGGGUUGUGGAAACCAAGAUAAUGUCUAAGUUAUAUAACAGUUCUUUCCAUAAUCAAUCACUGUCUAGUUUUAGAUCUACCUAAGAAGGUUCUUGCACACAUGGGAAUAAGCUGACUGAGGUAAUAGAUGAGUGGGUCAUCAAUUCACUGUACAGUCAGCCUCCUUGAACCAGCCAUGCCAGAGAACUAUCAGGGGGACUGUGGAAAAAUCACUGAAGACUUUUGUAUCUAAAGCAAGUAUCUGAGGUGUUAUCAGGACUGGAAACAAAACAGUUCCAACUCACUGAUACUGCUCAGAGGGCAGACCCAAAAUGAAUCUGCUCAUGCCUGACACAGGAACUUGUUGUGUUACUUCCCACAAAGAGCCUCGUGGAUCCAUCUUGUUUGCAGCAGCUGGAGAGGAAAUCCCUGCUAGAGGGAUUCAGCCUCCUCUUUGCUGGAAGCCAUUCCCUGCACCAGCGGGGAGCAAGCACGGACACAGCGGAGGUUGAAAUGAGCUCUUUUAUUGGCUGUGCUCAAAUGGGGUGUUGCUUGCCUGACAGCCACAUAAUCUGUGAAGAAAUCCACAGAUACAAA
Molecule: long non-coding RNA, 666 nt
Filed under: Anser brachyrhynchus (Pink-footed goose)
Lineage: Eukaryota; Metazoa; Chordata; Aves; Anseriformes; Anatidae
Description: lncRNA (ENSABRG00000012685.1)
Source: RNAcentral